GACCUCAGAGCAGGUGAGACUACCCCCUAUUUUAACCCCUAAUUUUAAGCAU
RNAcentral lists this ribosomal RNA (52 nucleotides) under Dermestes maculatus (common hide beetle). RNAcentral's name for it is "partial 28S ribosomal RNA". The record is from RNAcentral. Lineage: Eukaryota; Metazoa; Arthropoda; Insecta; Coleoptera; Dermestidae.